UACAGGAACUGUUUGGUUGGAGUUGG
Molecule: non-coding RNA, 26 nt
Filed under: Cricetulus griseus (Chinese hamster)
Lineage: Eukaryota; Metazoa; Chordata; Mammalia; Rodentia; Cricetidae
Source: RNAcentral